RNAcentral lists this ribosomal RNA (728 nucleotides) under uncultured Planctomycetota bacterium. RNAcentral's name for it is "bacterial SSU rRNA". It matches the Rfam family "Bacterial small subunit ribosomal RNA", at positions 22 to 742 of the family's 1533-position model. The record is from RNAcentral. Lineage: Bacteria; Pseudomonadati; Planctomycetota.
GCUCAGAAUGAACGCUUAGCGGCAGGCCUAACACAUGCAAGUCGAACGGUAACAUAAAGUGCUUGCACUUUGAUGACGAGUGGCGCACGGGUGCGUAACGCGUAUAGAACCUACCCUGUACAGGGGGAUAGCCCAGAGAAAUUUGGAUUAAUACCCCGUGGUAACUUGAUAUGGCAUCAUAUUAAGUUUAAAGUUUUCGGACGGUACAGGAUGGCUAUGCGUCCUAUUAGCUUGUUGGUGGGGUAAUGGCCUACCAAGGCAGCGAUGGUUACCGGGUGUGAGAGCAUGGCCCGGCUCACUGGGACUGANACACUGCCCAGACACCUACGGGUGGCUGCAGUCGAGAAUCUUCGGCAAUGGACGAAAGUCUGACCGAGCGACGCCGCGUGCGGGAUGAAGGCCCUCGGGUUGUAAACCGCUGUCAGUUGGGAGGAAGGACCUGUGCAGAGCAGGUCUUGACCGAUCUUCAGAGGAAGGACGGGCUAANUUCGUGCCAGCAGCCGCGGUAAGACGAACCGUCCAAACGUUAUUCGGUAUCACUGGGCUUAAAGCGUGCGUAGGCGGCUUGGUAGGUGUGAUGUGAAAGCCCACGGCUCAACCGUGGAAUUGCGUCGCAAACCCCCAAGCUUGAGGAAGACAGGGGUGUUGGGAACUUAUGGUGGAGCGGUGAAAUGCGUUGAUAUCAUAGGGAACACCGGUGGCGAGGGCGCAACACUGGGUCUUUUCUG